Molecule: ribosomal RNA, 117 nt
Filed under: Candidatus Zhuqueibacterota bacterium
Lineage: Bacteria; Pseudomonadati
Source: RNAcentral
UCCGGUGAUUAUUGCGAAGGGGAUACACCUCUUCCCAUUCCGAACAGAGAAGUUAAGCCCUUCAGCGCCAAUGGUACUGCAUGGGAGACUGUGUGGGAGAGUAGGACAUUGCCGGAU